This is a long non-coding RNA of Apis dorsata (giant honeybee), 899 nucleotides long. RefSeq lists it as uncharacterized. Lineage: Eukaryota; Metazoa; Arthropoda; Insecta; Hymenoptera; Apidae. The transcript has 2 exons. The record is from RefSeq and is a predicted model, not a curated record.
AUAUUAAUAAUAAUAGUAGUAGUAGUAGUAGUAUUUAUAUCACGCGUGAGCCCGUGCAAGCAUCGUUCAGCCAGCAUCGCGAUUAUUUUCAUCCAUCUUCGAGUUGGAGUUUUUUUUUUUUUUUUUUCCCCCAUUUUUUCCGACAAGAUUCCACGAGUUUUUCAUAUUUUUUUCCCCUUUCUUUUUCUUUUUUUCUUUUUUUCCUAUUUUCAUUUCCCUACUGUCGUAUCGCGCAAUCAACAUCUAAUUUCAUCAGUUUCAUUCAUUAUUCUUUCUCUUCAAGUCCGUCAGAAUAUAUUAAAUAUUUCGAUCGUGUUAUUAUUAAUUAUAUAUUAGUAUUUUAUAUCUAUGUAUCUAUAUACCUAUGUAUAUAUACAUAUACAUACAUGUGUAUAUACAUAUACAUACACACAUAUAUGUACACAUAUAUGUAUAUAUAUAAUUGUCAUUAUAUUAUAUAUUAUGCUUUAUCACACAUAUUACAAAGGAGGUGAAGAAUCAUACCUAACAUAUUAUUUGUUAUUUUGUUGUUGUUUGUUUGUUUGUUGUUGUUUUGUUGUUGUUGUUGUUCUUGUUGUUGUUGUUGUAAUUGUUGUUGUAGUCGUUUACUUUUCUUACAAGGGCGAUUUCAAACAAUAACUUCACUGCGAAUGUAGCUUAUCAUUAUUAUUAUUAUCAUCAAUCGUCAUCGUUAUUUAUUAUUUUUUCUUCUCUCUCUCUCUCUCUUUCUCUCUCUCUCUCUCCCUUUUAAAUUCUUAGCGCGCCAUCAUCGGCGGAUGCGUUUUCAUCGUGUGUACGCGUGCACGUUCGUACGUAUAAAAUUUCGCUAUGGGCGACUACAAUCGCGGUUUCCUUUAUCCAUACUUUCUCGCGGUUUCCCAUCCCACCCCCGCCCUCCC